RNAcentral lists this ribosomal RNA (460 nucleotides) under uncultured bacterium. Its description in RNAcentral is "partial 16S ribosomal RNA". It matches the Rfam family "Bacterial small subunit ribosomal RNA", at positions 338 to 795 of the family's 1533-position model. The record is from RNAcentral.
CCUACGGGCGGCAGCAGUGAGGAAUAUUGGUCAAUGGACGAGAGUCUGAACCAGCCAAGUAGCGUGAAGGAUGACUGUCCUAUGGAUUGUAAACUUCUUUUAUAUGGGAAUAAAAUGUUCCACGUGUGGGAUUUUGUAUGUACCCUAUGAAUAAGCAUCGGCUAACUCCGUGCCAGCAGCCGCGGUAAUACGGAGGAUACGAGCGUUAUCCGGAUUUAUUGGGUUUAAAGGGUGCGUAGGUGGAAUGUUAAGUCAGUGGGGAAAGUUUGGGGCUCAACCGUAGAAUUGCAGUUGAAACUGGCAGUCUUGAGUAGAGUAGAGGUAGGCGGAAUGCGUGGUGUAGCGGUGAAAUGCAUAGAUAUCACGAAGAACUCCGAUUGCGAAGGCAGCACACUGGACUGCAACUGACACUGAGGCUCGAAAGUGUGGGUAUCAAACAGGAUUAGAUACCCGAGUAGUC